CGAAAAGAAGGUGGCAAUGCUAGACAAAAUGAAAUGAUGCAGGAAUUCCGUAAGUGCUUGAGUGACUGUAACCUGGAGGAUAUGGGCUGUGUUGGUGAUCCAUUCACUUGGAGAAGGGGGGAUAUCCGUGAAAGGCUUGAUCGAGCUGUCUGUAAUUUAGAAUGGGCAAAUAAAUUCCCGCAUGUUGUCAUUAUUAAUGGGGAUCAUGUACACUCAGACCAUUGUCCUUUAAUCCUUGACACAGAUUAUUUUGAUAGUAACUUGUUUAAUCAUCGGAAUGGUCAUGUGAGACAAUUUGAAGCAAAAUGGACGAAAGAAGAUACUGUUGAGGAUAUUGUGAAGACUGCUUGGGAAAAAACAAAGUUGGCGGGUAUUGGUCCCUCUCUCGCAGCACGGACUAGAGCAGUGCAUGAUGAUUUACAUUCUUGGGACCGUAUAACUUUGAAAGGACCAAAGAGGAGAAUAAAUAAGUUAAAAAAGAACUAG
Molecule: ribosomal RNA, 486 nt
Filed under: Triticum aestivum (bread wheat)
Lineage: Eukaryota; Viridiplantae; Streptophyta; Magnoliopsida; Poales; Poaceae
Description: partial small subunit ribosomal RNA
Source: RNAcentral